CAGCUGCUUGGUGAGGUGGAUCAGCGCCGCCUUCGAGGCGUUGUAGAGGCCGAGGUCGGGUUCGAACCCCAUGCCGCCGA
Molecule: transfer RNA, 80 nt
Filed under: Nocardia asteroides
Lineage: Bacteria; Bacillati; Actinomycetota; Actinomycetes; Mycobacteriales; Nocardiaceae
Description: tRNA-Arg(tcg)
Source: RNAcentral